CAACGGGUGGAGCUUGCGGUUAAUGGAUUCAACGCCGGAAUCUUACCGGGACCGACAGCAAUAUGAAGGCCAGGCUGAAGACUUGCCGGAUUAGCUGAGAGGUGGUGCAUGGCCGUCGUCAGUUCGUACUGUGAAGCAUCCUGUUAAGUCAGGCAACGAGCGAGACCCACGCCCACAGUUGCCAGCGUACUCUCUGGAGUGACGGGUACACUGUGGGGACCGCCGCUGCUAAAGCGGAGGAAGGAAUGGGCAACGGUAGGUCAGUAUGGCCCCCGAAUAUCCCGGGCUACACGCGAGCUACAAUGGUUGGUACAAUGGGUAUCUACCCCGAAAGGGGACGGCAAUCUCCUAAACCCAUCCGUAGUUCGGAUUGUGGGCUGCAACUCGCCCACAUGAAGCUGGAAUCUGUAGUAAUCGUGUCUCAAAAUGGCACGGUGAAUAUGUCCCUGCUCCUU
Molecule: ribosomal RNA, 455 nt
Filed under: uncultured Methanosaeta sp.
Lineage: Archaea; Methanobacteriati; Methanobacteriota; Methanomicrobia; Methanotrichales; Methanotrichaceae
Description: bacterial SSU rRNA
Rfam family: Archaeal small subunit ribosomal RNA
Source: RNAcentral